Molecule: long non-coding RNA, 707 nt
Filed under: Ananas comosus (pineapple)
Lineage: Eukaryota; Viridiplantae; Streptophyta; Magnoliopsida; Poales; Bromeliaceae
Description: long non-coding RNA (ACOM_LNC040290)
Source: RNAcentral
AAUAAUUAAUAAUAAGAUAACAUUAAAUAUUUUUUUGUAUUUCUCACUUGUCACAAUUACGAAAGGUCACUCACUAUUGGUUUCAAGGAUGGAACCGACGUCACCUUCUACGGCAAUGGUGAUAGUGAGAAUGACGAUGAUCCCUUCGGUGGAGGGGAGACAUGGGCGCGCACUAGUAAGGGAGGGAGAGAGAGGGGCAGGUGUAUAUGAGAAAAGAUAAGAAAGAGAAUUGAUUAAUAUGAAAAAUAUGGAGGAAGAAUUUGGUACUAAAAAUGUUUAGAUGUAUUAAUUAAAUAUAUUAAUUAAAAGUUUCGAAAAGGGAAGGGUCAUAUAUGGUGAAGGACAACUUGACAUUGAAGGUUUGAUAAUGAUAAUGUUUAGAUAUAUUAAUUAAAUAUAUUAAUUGAAAGUUUAAAGAGAAAGGAUGAACAACUUGAAAGUUUGGUAAUGAUAACGUUCAGAUACUUUAAUUAAAUAUAUUAAUUGAAAGUUUGAUAAAGAAAAUGAAAAGGAUCAAAUGGUGAUGAGAGUGAAAAAUAAUUUGUCACCGUGGUAAAAAAUAUUAGAAAUUUACCUCAUAUAAGUUAAUAGAUGAUAUUUCAAAUAAAUAAUUUUUUUUAAAAAAAUUAAUAAGUUCCAUCAUAAUUAAUAAAAAUUAUUAUUAUAUUUCAUAAAAAUAAAAAUAUAUAAUUAAUGAUAUGAUGUAA